RNAcentral lists this transfer RNA (87 nucleotides) under Thalassobaculum litoreum DSM 18839. RNAcentral's name for it is "tRNA_Leu_CAA". It matches the Rfam family "tRNA". Rfam says of the family: Transfer RNA (tRNA) molecules are approximately 80 nucleotides in length. Their secondary structure includes four short double-helical elements and three loops (D, anti-codon, and T loops). Further hydrogen bonds mediate the characteristic L-shaped molecular structure. tRNAs have two regions of fundamental functional importance: the anti-codon, which is responsible for specific mRNA codon recognition, and the 3' end, to which the tRNAs corresponding amino acid is attached (by aminoacyl-tRNA synthetases). tRNAs cope with the degeneracy of the genetic code in two manners: having more than one tRNA (with a specific anti-codon) for a particular amino acid; and 'wobble' base-pairing, i.e. permitting non-standard base-pairing at the 3rd anti-codon position. Lineage: Bacteria; Pseudomonadati; Pseudomonadota; Alphaproteobacteria; Rhodospirillales; Thalassobaculaceae. RNAcentral also lists the same sequence under 1 other name. The record is from RNAcentral.
GCCCCCGUGGCGGAAUUGGUAGACGCGACAGACUCAAAAUCUGUUUUCCGCAAGGAAGUGUCCGUUCGAGUCGGACCGGGGGCACCA